Molecule: transfer RNA, 67 nt
Filed under: Dicyathifer mannii
Lineage: Eukaryota; Metazoa; Mollusca; Bivalvia; Myida; Teredinidae
Description: tRNA-Tyr
Source: RNAcentral
GGAAAGGCGGCUGUAGAAGUGUUAAGUUGUAGCCUUAGUUAUGAGGAUUGCGGUUCCUUCCUUUCUA